ACCCGUUGAUCCUGCGGGAGGUUGCUGCUAUUGGGGUUCGAUUCAGCCAUGCAAGUCAAGGGGGUUCUUCGGAACCACCGGCGAAAUGCUCAGUAACACGUUGAUAAUCUGCCCUUAGGUCAGGAAUAGCCUUGGGAAACUGAGGGUAAGACCUGAUAGGGGAUUAUAUCUGGAAUGAUUUAUCUCUUAAAGGAAACGCCUAAGGAUGAGACAGCGGCGGAUUAGGUUGUUGGCGGGGUAAUGGCCCACCAAGCCUACGAUCCGUACGGGCCGUGAGAGCGGGAGCCCGGAGAAGGACACUGAGAUACUGGUCCUAGCCCUACGGGGUGCAGCAGGCGCGAAACCUUUACAAUGCACGAAAGUGUGAUAAGGGAACCCCAAGUGCUCAUGUAUUACAUGGGCUUUUGCCAAGUGUAAAUAGCUUGGAGAAUAAGUGGUGGGUAAGACUGGUGCCAGCAGCCGCGGUAACACCAGCGCCACGAGUGGGAGCCACGUUUAUUGGGCCUAAAGCAUCCGUAGCUGGUUUGGUAAAUCUUUUGUGAAAUCAUUUGGCUUAACCAAAUGGCGUGCAGAAGACACUGCCAAACUCGAGACCGGGAGGAGUCAGGGGAAUUUCAAGGGGAGCGGUAAAAUGCAAUAAUCCUUGGAGGACCACCUGUGGCGAAGGCGCCUGACUAGAACGGUUCUGACAGUGAGGGACGAAAGCUAGGGGAGCGAUCCGGAUUAGAUACCCGAGUAGUCCUAGCUGUAAACUCUGCGAGCAUGGCGUUGCAUGUUCCACGAGAAUAUGCAAUGUCGAAGAGCAGUCGUUAAGCUCGCCGCCUGGGAAGUAUGGUCGCAAGACUGAAACUUAAAGGAAUUGGCGGGGGAGCACUACAAGGGGUGCGGCGUGCGGUUUAAUCUAACUCAACGCAGAGAACCUCACCAGGGGCGACGGCAGUAUGAAAGUCAGUCUAAAGGGCUUACUUGACGAGCCGAGAGGUAGUGCAUGGCCGCCGUCAGCUCGUGCCGUAAGGUGUCCUGUUAAGUCAGGCAACGAGCGAGACCUGUACCCAUAAUUGUUAACGGUAUCUUCGGAUAGACCGAACACCUUAUGGGAACUGCCUUGGAAACAAGGAGGAAGGUGCAGGCUACGGUAGGUCUGUAUGCUCCGAAUCCUCUGGGCUACACGCGCGCAACAAUGGUAAGGACAAAGGGAUGCAACUCCGAGAGGAGAAGCUAAACCUCGAAACCUUAUCCUAGUCUAGAUUGAGGGUUGCAACUCACCCUCAUGACACUGGAAUCCCUAGUAAUCGGAUGUCAACAUCGUCCGGUGAAUAUGUCCCUGCUCCUUGCACACACCGCCCGUCAAACCACUCGAGCAGGGUCUAGGUGAACCUCAUCUUUUUGGAUGUUGUGAAUCUAGGCUCAGUGAGAUGGGUUAAGUCGUCACAAGGUA
This 1438-nucleotide ribosomal RNA is filed under the name metagenome. RNAcentral describes it as "bacterial SSU rRNA". It matches the Rfam family "Archaeal small subunit ribosomal RNA". The record is from RNAcentral.